CAGGAAUACUGGCCACUAAAGCAGAUGAAAAACUUGGACAGUGGAAAACCCCCCAUCCUCUUAAGGCUUUAGAAAUUGUCUUUACCCCUGAAUAUGACCUUUUCUGAGGCCCCUGCUGGGAUAUGCUGACCCUCCUUUAACUAUCAUCAUGACCAGGGCAUUCCUCCACUCCACAGUGUAGAUUUGAUCCUCAGAAGUCUAACCACAGUCUCUUCCCAACUUAACAUUAGUCUCCACCCCACUAGUUUUUACCUCCAUGACUUACCAUCCCAUGUCUACUAACUCCCCAUUAGCUCACAGCUCUGCAGACCAGAGCACAAUGUCUGCCGACUGACAACUAGCCCACAAAACCUUGUUUGAUCACACCCUUAUCCCCAGCAGAGUCUGCCAAACUCCCAUUAGCUCACAGCACCAUGUCUUGCCAUCCCCAUGAGCUGCCAUUACAAUUCUUGCUGACCCCAUUAGCUGACAUCAAGUUUGAUCAGCCCCCUGAUAAGACUGGUGAUUCUCCUUCAGGUUGGUUUUGUAGCUUACUGUCCUUUACAUUGAGCAUGGGGACAGUGACCUCCCAUCACAGCCACGUGUCUUACCACCUUCCUUCAGACUAAUGUAGUGUCUGUUGACCUCACCAUUUUGUCCUCUGGUGCCCCAUUGGCUACCAGUAUGAUGUAAUUAACCCACUGAGUUGUCAUCAUGGUGUCUGCUCACCCAUCAUUAGAUCACAUCUGCACAGUGUGUCUUCCACAGUACACUUUCGUCAAGGUCUGUCUGCUGUUCC
Molecule: long non-coding RNA, 778 nt
Filed under: Marmota monax (woodchuck)
Lineage: Eukaryota; Metazoa; Chordata; Mammalia; Rodentia; Sciuridae
Source: RNAcentral